UACGGAAGGCAGCAGGGGGGAAUAUUGCACAAUGGGCGAAAGCCUGAUGCAGCUAUGCCGCGUGUAUGAAGAAGGCCUUAGGGUUGUAAAGUACUUUCAUCGGGGAGGAAAAAACAAAACUAAUAAUUUUAUUUCUUGACGUUACCCGAAAAAGAAGCACCGGCUAACUCCGUGCCAGCAGCCGCGGUAAUACGGAGGGUGCUAGCGUUAAUCAGAAUUACUGGGCGUAAAGAGCACGUAGGUGGUUUUUUUAAGUCAGAUGUGAAAUCCCUGGGCUUAACCUGGAACUGCAUUUUGAAACUGAAAUACUAGAGUAUCGUAGAGGGAGGUAGAAUUCUAGGUGUAGCGGUGAAAUGCGUAGAUAUCUGGAGGAAUACCUGUGGCGAAAGCGGCCUCCUAAACGAAUACUGACACUGAGGUGCGAAAGCGUGGGGAGCAAACAGGGAUUAGAUACC
Molecule: ribosomal RNA, 455 nt
Filed under: uncultured bacterium
Lineage: Bacteria
Description: bacterial SSU rRNA
Rfam family: Bacterial small subunit ribosomal RNA
Source: RNAcentral